GAGAUCUAGUACGGUCUCGUGGGCUCGGAGAUGUGUAUAAGAGACAGCCUGUAGAUGAAAUAGGUAAGACUUCCUGGGCGUGAUACCCGAGUACUACGUGACACGGGAAACCUCGUAGGAAUUUCGCCCGACCACGGGCAAAGGCUAAAUACUAACUGGUGACCGAUAGCGGACUAGUACCGUGAGGGAAAGCUGAAAAGAACCCCGGAAGGGGAGUGAAAUAGUACCUGAAACCGUAAGCUUACAAGCGGUCGGAGCUCCACUUUGUGGGGUGACGGCGUGCCUUUUGGAGAAUGAUCCGGCGAGUUACCCUAUCGAGCAAGCUUAAUCCGCCUAAGGCGGAGCAGGCGCAGGGAAACCGAGUCCUAACCGGGCGAUUUAGUUCGAUGGGGUAGACCCGAAGCCGAGUGAUCUACCCAUGGCCAGGAUGAACUCCGGGUAACACCGGAGGGAGGUCCGAACCUUUAUGAGUUGAAAAUCGUUGGGAUGAGCUGUGGGUAGGGUGAAAGGCUAAUCAAACUCGGUGAUAGCUGGUUCUCCCCGAAAUAGCUUUAGGGCUAGCCUUCUGAAUUGAUAACGGGGGUAGAGCACUGAUUGGGCAAGGGACCACACCAGGUUGCCAAGCCUAGUCAAACUCCGAAUACCGUUAUUUUUUAUCAGGGGAGUCAGACUACGGGGGAUAAGCUCCGUGGUCAAAAGGGAAACAGCCCAGACCGCCAGUUAAGGCCCCUAAAUACAGGCUAAGUGAGAAAGGAUGUGAAGUCACUUUGACAGCCGGGAUGUUGGCUUAGAGGCAGCCAUCAUUUAAAGAUUGCGUAACAGCUCACCGGCCGAUGUGAUUUCGCGCCUAAGAUGAUCGGGACUAAAGCCUGUUGCCGAAACUGCGGUCCGCCAUGAUUUAUGGCGGAGGUAGGGGAGCUUCCUGAAAGCAUCGAAGCUGCAUCGUAAGGUGUGGUGGAGCGUUCAGGAGUGAUUAUGCCGGAAUGAGUAGCGAAAAUUUCGAUGAGAAAUCGGAACACCGAAAAUCUUAGGUUUCCUGGGGAAGGUUAAUCCGCCCAGGGUUAGGCGAUCCCUAAGCCGAGGCCGAAAGGCGUAGGCGAUGGGAAGCCGGUUAAUAUUCCGGCCCCGCCUUAUAGACGUUAAGCCUGCAGUGACGCAGAAGGCUAAGCCAGCUUCGAGUUGACUUUCGGAGUCUAAGCCAGUACUCCCGGCGUAAGUCGGGACGAGAGGUUAAGGGGUUUCCGCGAAAGCGGGAUAAACUGGCUGAUGCCAGACUGACAAGAAAUAGCUGUCAGGAUAGUCUAUCAGGCGUUCGUACCGUAAACCGACACAGGUGGAUAGGUAGAGAAUACCAAGGUGCUCGAGAUAACCCUCGCUAAGGAACUCGGCAAAAUAGCCCCGUAACUUAGGGAGAAGGGGUGCUCCGGUCUCUGUAGUCUCUUGCAGAUGAAGGAUACCGGAGCCGCAGUGACCAGGCUCUGGCGACUGUUUAGUAAAAACAUAGGUCCCUGCUAAGUCGUUUUAAGACGACGUAUAGGGACUGACACCUGCCCGGUGCCGGAAGGUUAAGGGGAGAAGUCAUUUCCGAGCAAUCGGGAUGAAGCUUUGAACCGAAGCCCCGGUAAACGGCGGCCGUAACUAUAACGGUCCUAAGGUAGCGAAAUUCCUUGUCAGGUAAGUUCUGACCCGCACGAAUGGUGUAACGAUCAGAGCGCUGUCUCAGCGAGGGACUCGGCGAAAUUGUGGUAGCGGUGAAGACGCCGCUUACCCGUGGUGGGACGGAAAGACCCCGGGACCUUUACUGUAACUUGGUAUUGAAUUUCGGUUUACUAUGUGUAGCAUAGGUGGGAGGCUUUGAAGUGCCGGCGCUAGUCGGUAUGGAGCCGUCAGUGAAAUACCACCCUUAUUAAAUUGAGGUCCUAACCCUGACUCAAAUCAGGGGACAGUGCCAGGCGGGCAGUUUAACUGGGGCGGUUGCCUCCUAAAGAGUAGCGGAGGCGCCCAAAGGUUCCCUCAGUUCCGUCGGCAAUGGAACGAUGAGUGUAAAGGCAGAAGGGAGCUUGACUGCGAGGCCUACAAGCCGAGCAGAGCGGAAACGCGGGCUUAGUGAUCCGGUGGUAGCAUGUGGAAGUGCCAUCGCUCAACGGAUAAAAGGUACCCCGGGGAUAACAGGCUGAUCGGGCCCAAGAGUUCAUAUCGACGGCCCGGUUUGGCACCUCGAUGUCGGCUCAUCCCAUCCUGGGGCUGGAGAAGGUCCCAAGGGUCCGGCUGUUCGCCGGUUAAAGGGGUACGUGAGCUGGGUUUAGACCGUCGCGAGACAGGUCGGUCCCUAUCUACCACGGGCGCAGGAUGCUUGAGGGAAUCUGUUCCUAGUACGAGAGGACCGGAAUGGACGGACCCCUGGUGUACCGGUUGUCCUGUCAAGGGCAUAUGCCGGGUAGCUAUGUCCGGAGUGGAUAAGCGCUGAAGGCAUCUAAGCGCGAAGCCCAUCCCGAGAUUAGGCAUCCCAUCUCAACUUCGGUUGAGAAUAAGGCACCUCGGAGACUACGAGGUUGAUAGGUCUCAGGUGUAAGGCCAGCAAUGGUUUUAGCCGAGAGAUACUAAUCUGCCGAACGGCUUGACC
RNAcentral lists this ribosomal RNA (2623 nucleotides) under sediment metagenome. Its description in RNAcentral is "bacterial LSU rRNA". It matches the Rfam family "Bacterial large subunit ribosomal RNA", at positions 324 to 2925 of the family's 2925-position model. The record is from RNAcentral.